This 254-nucleotide ribosomal RNA is filed under the name uncultured bacterium. RNAcentral describes it as "partial 16S ribosomal RNA". It matches the Rfam family "Bacterial small subunit ribosomal RNA", at positions 524 to 776 of the family's 1533-position model. The record is from RNAcentral.
UACGUAGGGGGCAAGCGUUGUCCGGAUUUAUUGGGCGUAAAGAGCGUGUAGGCGGCUAUGCAGGUCCGCUGUGAAAACUCGAGGCUCAACCUCGGGACGUCGGUGGAAACCGCAUGGCUAGAGUCCGGAAGAGGAGAGUGGAAUUCCCGGUGUAGCGGUGAAAUGCGCAGAUAUCGGGAAGAACACCCGUGGCGAAGGCGGCUCUCUGGGACGGUACUGACGCUGAGACGGCGAAAGCGUGGGGAGCGAACAGG